AGUGAACGCUGGCGGUAGGCCUAACACAUGCAAGUCGAACGGCAGCACAGGAGAGCUUGCUCUCUGGGUGGCGAGUGGCGGACGGGUGAGGAAUACAUCGGAAUCUACCUUUUCGUGGGGGAUAACGUAGGGAAACUUACGCUAAUACCGCAUACGACCUUCGGGUGAAAGCAGGGGACCUUCGGGCCUUGCGCGGAUAGAUGAGCCGAUGUCGGAUUAGCUAGUUGGCGGGGUAAAGGCCCACCAAGGCGACGAUCCGUAGCUGGUCUGAGGGGAUGAUCAGCCACACUGGAACUGAGACACGGGCCAGACUCCUACGGGAGGCAGCAGUGGGGAAUAUUGGACAAUGGGCGCAAGCCUGAUCCAGCCAUACCGCGUGGGUGAAGAAGGCCUUCGGGUUGUAAAGCCCUUUUGUUGGGAAAGAAAAGCAGCCAGUUAAUACCUGGUUGUUCUGACGGUACCCAAAGAAUAAGCACCGGCUAACUUCGUGCCAGCAGCCGCGGUAA
RNAcentral lists this ribosomal RNA (506 nucleotides) under uncultured bacterium. RNAcentral's name for it is "partial 16S ribosomal RNA". It matches the Rfam family "Bacterial small subunit ribosomal RNA", at positions 29 to 523 of the family's 1533-position model. The record is from RNAcentral.